This is a non-coding RNA of Pelobates cultripes (western spadefoot toad), 421 nucleotides long. The record is from the annotation of a GenBank genome assembly. Lineage: Eukaryota; Metazoa; Chordata; Amphibia; Anura; Pelobatidae.
GGACGUGACCCCAGAAGCUAUGGGUGUGACGGCCAUGAAUAGGGUGGAGUUUGGUUUGUGUGCUUAAAUCUCCCACAUACACUCAGAAAGUGGCCUGGAGGGGGUGAUGUCACUUAGUAAGAAUGUGAUCCAUUCAACUGGAGGAAUUGGCAAGUAGGACUUCUAGGCAAUAGCCCUCACCCCAUCCAAUCAACUGAAUGCACCUUGUCACCAGAGCUGGCUAUACAAUGUAUCAGACAGUGUGGAAGACACUAACUCAUAUUCGUGAUUACUUACGCUCUGUUUGCUGUACAGAGACACAAGAUCGAUAGAAUGUUUCUCUGUGGAGAGAGGAUCUGUUUGUUUUUUCUUUUCAGAACAGGGAAUGUGUUCAGGACAAUAUGUUCCUAGCUCGCCAGAUUUCUAUAUGCAUUAGUUUGAC